GCUGGGAUAGCUCAGUCAGUAGAGCAUGAGGCUCUUAAUCUCAGAGUUGUGGGUUCGAGCCCCAUAUUGGGCA
This 73-nucleotide transfer RNA is filed under the name Podarcis lilfordi (Lilford's wall lizard). It matches the Rfam family "tRNA". From Rfam's summary of the family: Transfer RNA (tRNA) molecules are approximately 80 nucleotides in length. Their secondary structure includes four short double-helical elements and three loops (D, anti-codon, and T loops). The record is from Rfam by way of RNAcentral. Lineage: Eukaryota; Metazoa; Chordata; Lepidosauria; Squamata; Lacertidae.